AAUAGCGUAUAUUAAAGUUGUUGCAGUUAAAAAGCUCCGUAGUUGGACCUUGGGCCUGGACAGGCGGUCCGCCUCACGGCGUGUACUGUCUUGCUGGGCCUUUCCUCUUGGUGAUCUGUGGUUUCGGCCGCAGGGAACCAGGACCUUUACUUUGAAAAAAUUAGAGUGUUCAAAGCAGGCUUUACGCCAGAAUAUAUUAGCAUGGAAUAAUAAAAUAGGACGUGCGGUUCUAUUUUGUUGGUUUUUGGGAUCGCCGUAAUGAUUAAUAGGGACAGUCGGGGGCAUUAGUACUCACAUGCUAGAGGUGAAAUUCUUGGAUUUUGUGAAGACUAACUUCUGCGAAAGCAUUUGCCAAGGAUGUUUUCAUUAAUCAAGAACGAAGGUUAGGGUAUCGAAAACGAUUAGAUACCGUUGUAGUCUUAACAGUAAACUAUGCCGACUAGGGAUCGGUCGAUGUUAUUUUCUUGACUCGAUCGGCACCUUACGAGAAAUCAAAGUUUUUGGGUUCUGGGGGGAGUAUGGUCGCA
RNAcentral lists this ribosomal RNA (527 nucleotides) under Malassezia sympodialis. Its description in RNAcentral is "SSU rRNA". It matches the Rfam family "Eukaryotic small subunit ribosomal RNA", at positions 593 to 1133 of the family's 1831-position model. The record is from RNAcentral. Lineage: Eukaryota; Fungi; Basidiomycota; Malasseziomycetes; Malasseziales; Malasseziaceae.